This 55-nucleotide transfer RNA is filed under the name Agelena silvatica. RNAcentral's name for it is "tRNA-Ile". The record is from RNAcentral. Lineage: Eukaryota; Metazoa; Arthropoda; Arachnida; Araneae; Agelenidae.
UAAAAUUUCUCAUUAUUUAAUCUAUCAAAUUAACCCUUUUUAUCAGGCAUAUUUU